CACACAAAAAAAAACACAACAGGGAGAGGAGCAUGAGAGGGAAGGGAUAGGUAGUCCGCAAUGUUGUUUAGGUUGUUAGUACAGUAGGCUAUAUCCACUUUCAACUACAAUGCCAGAGAGCUUCUAUCCAAGCUCAAGCUUCUAAUGCUGAUCGGGGCCAUAUAUCCUGGGCCUGCUGGUCAAGACUGGUACCUCAAAAGGACUCCUGGCCAGCGAAGGGGGUUGUGCUGAUGUAUAGAUUUCAAAUUGAUUGUGCUGCUUUGGAGACAGCGAAUGUUUCUUAACUGAUGCCAUGGAUUAGAACCGGGAGUCUGGAGAAGUGAAUCCAGAGAGAUCACAGUCCUGCUGUGUAAUACACGAUCUAAGUGCACAAAAUGCUACCAAUGGAUCGACAGUGGACCACACAGAACCUCCAAUUGCUGAGAAUUCUGAAUUUCACCACCAGAACAUCAUAGUACCUUACUAACGGACAAGACAAAUGAAGCACAACAAUGGUCUGUGGCAAAAGAACAACCACAGCCCAUUUCCCCACAGUUGAUCACCUCAAAGCAUUGCCCACCAUACCAAAUGAGACCGCCACCCACUUCAAUAAGGA
RNAcentral lists this long non-coding RNA (595 nucleotides) under Salmo salar (Atlantic salmon). RNAcentral's name for it is "lncRNA (ENSSSAG00000091621.1)". The record is from RNAcentral. Lineage: Eukaryota; Metazoa; Chordata; Actinopteri; Salmoniformes; Salmonidae.